Molecule: ribosomal RNA, 482 nt
Filed under: Bacillus sp. R-45944
Lineage: Bacteria; Bacillati; Bacillota; Bacilli; Caryophanales; Bacillaceae
Description: bacterial SSU rRNA
Rfam family: Bacterial small subunit ribosomal RNA
Source: RNAcentral
GGCUCAGGACGAACGCUGGCGGCGUGCCUAAUACAUGCAAGUCGAGCGGACAGAUGGGAGCUUGCUCCCUGAAGUCAGCGGCGGACGGGUGAGUAACACGUGGGCAACCUGCCUGUAAGACUGGGAUAACUCCGGGAAACCGGGGCUAAUACCGGAUAAUUCUUUYCCUCACAUGARGGAAAGCUGAAAGAUGGUUUCGGCUAUCACUUACAGAUGGGCCCGCGGCGCAUUAGCUAGUUGGUGAGGUAACGGCUCACCAAGGCAACGAUGCGUAGCCGACCUGAGAGGGUGAUCGGCCACACUGGGACUGAGACACGGCCCAGACUCCUACGGGAGGCAGCAGUAGGGAAUCUUCCGCAAUGGACGAAAGUCUGACGGAGCAACGCCGCGUGAGUGAUGAAGGUUUUCGGAUCGUAAAACUCUGUUGUUAGGGAAGAACAAGUACCGGAGUAACUGCCGGUACCUGACGGUACCUAACCAGA